This 49-nucleotide non-coding RNA is filed under the name unclassified sequences. RNAcentral's name for it is "chromate-resist RNA". It matches the Rfam family "chrB-b RNA". The record is from RNAcentral.
GCGGGCCGACGCGGACGCCCGUUCAGGCGACCCGUUGCCCAAGUUCCGC